UAGGCCCUGGAAGGAGUGGGUAGCCGGCGAAAGGACAAAGGUAGCAACAACCUGGGAAAAGCUGAAGCUCCAGGGAGGAUGGGCGAGCGCAGCUCCGUGACAGACACCUGCUGCGGGGCCAGGAAUCUUUGAGGGAGCAGGUGGUGCUGAGUCAAGUGAUGGUGCGGAGCUUGCUAAGGCUGAAGAUUCAGAGAGCAGCAGCCGCCAAGGACGCAGGUCUCCUUAUCCAGCAAUUAAAAUCGCUUCAAGUGGGUUAGGUAGCAGAGCCCUGCCGUGGCUGGCGAUGGAUCUUCAGAAUUCUAGUUUCCACCAAUCCAGGACAACAAACCGACUGCUGUACGGUGUGGCAAUAAACGAGUUACACAGAGCGAAUACUCAGACUGCGUCACUGAAUUCUCCACUAACAGGCAGCCGACCUGUAGAGCCCCAACACCUGCAGCCGCUCAGCCGAGGGGUGGCAGUGCCUUGCUGCCUCACUGGGUGCCUGGAGAAUGAGUGCAUGUUGUCAAAGCCUAGAAUGGAAGGUUCUCGAGGGAUCCAAGACACUUCUAUCCUUAUUCUCUCUCUAAUCUGGUGUAAUUUCAGCAUUGCUCUAAGGGUGCCCCAGCUUCCUCUUGGCCAUGAACUGGCAUAAUCCAGGUAUUAACAUGAUGGACUAUAUUGGCAGAAGUCGGACACACUCUGAUACCCACCAGUUGUCUCUUCUCCCGUUACCAGGAUUUAUUCCAAUGGAACAGGAAGCCGGAGGGAGAGAUAAAUUAGAAUUAUUUUUAAUAAAAUGGAGAUCA
Chelonia mydas (Green sea turtle) is the source of this 788-nucleotide long non-coding RNA. RefSeq lists it as uncharacterized. The transcript is spliced from 3 exons. Lineage: Eukaryota; Metazoa; Chordata; Testudines; Cheloniidae. The record is from RefSeq and is a predicted model, not a curated record.